RNAcentral lists this small nuclear RNA (107 nucleotides) under Erinaceus europaeus (western European hedgehog). Lineage: Eukaryota; Metazoa; Chordata; Mammalia; Eulipotyphla; Erinaceidae. The record is from RNAcentral.
GUGCUCGCUUUGGCAGCACACAUAAUAAAAUUGGAAGGAUACAGAGAAGAUUAACAUGGCCCCUGUGCAAAGAUGACAUGCAAAUUCGUGAAGCAUUCCAUUAAAAA